UGGGGGAUAUUGCACAAUGGGCGAAAGCCUGAUGCAGCGACGCCGCGUGGGGGAUGAAGGCUUUCGGGUUGUAAACCUCUUUCGCUAUCGAACAAGGCCCGCUUAGGGUGGGUUGAGGGUAGGUGGAGAAGAAGCGCCGGCUAACUACGUGCCAGCAGCCGCGGUAAUACGUAGGGCGCGAGCGUUGUCCGGAAUUAUUGGACGUAAAGGGCUUGUAGGCGGCUUGUUGCGCCUGCUGUGAAAACGCGGGGCUUAACUUCGCGCGUGCAGUGGGUACGGGCAGGCUUGAGUGUGGUAGGGGUGACUGGAAUUCCAGGUGUAGCGGUGGAAUGCGCAGAUAUAUGGAGGAACACCGAUGGCGAAGGCAGGUCACUGGGCCAUUACUGACGCUGAGGAGCGAAAGCAUGGGUAGCGAACAGG
RNAcentral lists this ribosomal RNA (420 nucleotides) under bacterium. RNAcentral describes it as "partial 16S ribosomal RNA". It matches the Rfam family "Bacterial small subunit ribosomal RNA", at positions 355 to 776 of the family's 1533-position model. The record is from RNAcentral.